RNAcentral lists this non-coding RNA (148 nucleotides) under Candidatus Brocadia. RNAcentral's name for it is "c-di-GMP sequence". It matches the Rfam family "c-di-GMP-I-GGC riboswitch aptamer". Lineage: Bacteria; Pseudomonadati; Planctomycetota; Candidatus Brocadiia; Candidatus Brocadiales; Candidatus Brocadiaceae. RNAcentral also lists the same sequence under 1 other name. The record is from RNAcentral.
CUCGAUAAAGGCAAACCAUAAGCAAUUGUGGGACGCAAAGUAAAGGGUCUUUUUUAGCAUACAGGGAAGUAUGGUGGGACGAUAGGGAAAAGUCCUUUUUUUAAUGUUGUAGGGAAAUAGGCAUAAUAAGACAGCCUUACUGCCGAAA